Long non-coding RNA from Felis catus (domestic cat), 742 nucleotides. RefSeq lists it as uncharacterized. Lineage: Eukaryota; Metazoa; Chordata; Mammalia; Carnivora; Felidae. The record is from RefSeq and is a predicted model, not a curated record. The transcript is spliced from 4 exons.
AGAGCCUCCAGAAAAUAUCAGUGCUGCUGACCCCUUGACAUUAGCCUGUUGAGAUCCACGUGAGACUUCUGACCUCCAGAACUAGAGAAGAAUACUGAAGUGUUAAAAUGAAAAUGAUUUUCCCCAUUUUAAACAUCUAGUGGUUAACAAGACAAAGAUGUGUCUCCAGGGUGAUUUUACUGUGGUGACAUUUGGCUGAAAUGAGACCAUUGGGAUCCAAACAUACUCCCAAAUGGAAGAAGACUUCCUGGUCUCAUUCCACCUCCAGAAACAGAAGAGUUCUACACACUCUGCAGAAGGCUCCUCCCGAGAGGCUCAUAAUCAGCACUCAGGAAGGUAGGAUGGGUGGUAAAAAGAUUUAUGCAUUAGUGGCUAUGUUUUCAGGAGGCAAGUGAUAAAGAGAUCCUGGAGGGCUUGUUGUGAGCAGUUAGAGUUUCAGAAGUUCAGUAAGGGGAAGCAAAGGUAUAUUGUUUCCUUUCUAUUGCUUACUUCAGGUAUAUUGUCUCCUUUCUAUUGCUUACUUCUAAUUUCAUUUAUUCUUCUUAUUCUAUUUUUAACCGUAAAAUUUAGAUAUAUAAUUUUAAACUGUUUGCAAUAAGUGAUUUGACUUUUUAUAAUUAUACAUUUCCCUCCCUAGAAUGCUUUAGGUGCAGUAUAAGUUCUGAUAUGCUAUAUUUUCAUUACGAUUUAUUUAAAAAUACUUCAUGUGACUUUUUGACAAACAGAUUCUUUAGAAAAUGUU